This 636-nucleotide small RNA is filed under the name Pan troglodytes (chimpanzee). Its description in RNAcentral is "retained intron". The record is from RNAcentral. Lineage: Eukaryota; Metazoa; Chordata; Mammalia; Primates; Hominidae.
AGGCCACCUGGUGCCCGCUCGCAUGACCGUGCGCGGCACCGACGGCGCCCCCGCCUACUCCAUCUACGGCCGCCCACGCCGCUCAGCGCCCUUCCUCACUCCGGGACCUGGCAGGUACUUCCCGGAGCGAGCGGGGAACGCGACGUACCCCAGUGCACCUCGGCACACCAUUGCUCCCCGAAACUGGGGUGUCCAGGCGGAGCAGCAGAGCCCAGGUCCCGCGGCCUAUACUGUGCCCUCGCUCUUGGGUCCGCGCGUCAUCGGCAAAGUCUCCGCCCCAACUUGCUCCAUCUACGGCCGCAGAGCGGCUGGCAGUUUCUUCGAGGACCUCAGCAAGGUGGGGGAGGGGCCGGGGCGGACGCAGAGGGUCCCUGGUCCGCGGCAGUGGAGGCGGCAGCCAGCACCCUCUGCCCUCUCGCAGACCCCGGGCCCCUGCGCCUACCAGGUCGUGAGUCCAGGGGUCUACAAGUCCCGGGCCCCCCAGUUCACGAUUCUGGCGCGGACUUCGCUCCCCCAAGACAACACUCGGAAGCCAGGGCCCGCGGCCUACAACGUGGAUCAGGUGGCCUGGAGCCCAGGGUCAAGGGUCAGAGUCAGGAGAGUGGGGAGGGCCUGAGGUCGGAGUGAUGGGAUCAG